Molecule: ribosomal RNA, 460 nt
Filed under: uncultured bacterium
Lineage: Bacteria
Description: partial 16S ribosomal RNA
Rfam family: Bacterial small subunit ribosomal RNA
Source: RNAcentral
CCUACGGGUGGCAGCAGUGAGGAAUAUUGGUCAAUGGACGAGAGUCUGAACCAGCCAAGUAGCGUGAAGGAUGACUGCCCUAUGGGUUGUAAACUUCUUUUAUAAAGGAGUAAAACGCGGCACGUGUGCCUUUUUGCAUGUACUUUAUGAAUAAGGAUCGGCUAACUCCGUGCCAGCAGCCGCGGUAAUACGGAGGAUCCGAGCGUUAUCCGGAUUUAUUGGGUUUAAAGGGUGCGUUGAUGGGUUGUUAAGUCAGUUGGGAAAGUUUGCGGCUCAACCGUAAAAUUGCAAUUGAUACUGGCAGUCUUGAGUACAGUUGAGGUAGGCGGAAUUCGUGGUGUAGCGGUGAAAUGCUUAGAUAUCACGAAGAACCCCGAUUGCGAAGGCAGCUUACUAAACUGUGACUGACAUUGAUGCUCGAAAGUGUGGGUAUCAAACAGGAUUAGAUACCCUUGUAGUC